Molecule: long non-coding RNA, 1259 nt
Filed under: Cicer arietinum (chickpea)
Lineage: Eukaryota; Viridiplantae; Streptophyta; Magnoliopsida; Fabales; Fabaceae
Description: long non-coding RNA (CARI_LNC001341)
Source: RNAcentral
AUUAGCUUAAAUUAACAAGAAGACUAGCGUUUUUGAAGCAUUUACAGACAGGACAAGUAUGCAGUGUAGACCCACACAUAGUACAGAGACAGAGGUGUCUGCAAGGCAGGAUUAGUACACACGAUUCUCCUUUCCCACAAUUUCUGCACAAUCUCUUCUUUUCAUUGUAACCGCUAUCGUACUCAUUCAUUACUCUGCUACCAUCACCACCACCACUAGUACCUUCUCCAUUUUCCUUAUCCUGCGCACCAAAUGCUACCGUGCACCACCCCUCUUUAUUAUAAUUAUUACUUCCGCAAGAUGACUCCGCGUCUUCCUCCACCACGACGGUGGCAUCUACGCCACCGCCGUUGUUUUUCAGCUGCGUAAGGACUUGUUCGAGAUUGUUCCGGAGAGCGGUGGCGGUGGCUUCGUUGGUUUGAGCUAGUUCACGCCAUAUUUGAUUCUCGAUGCAAAGUGAUUUUACUCUCUCUUCAAGCACCAUGUUCAUUCUUUCAAAUGUCUCAUUAAAUAGUAAUAAAUAUAAAUAUUUAUUAAAUAGAAAAAAAAAUGUCACUACAAAGUCGUAUCCAAGAAUGCGACCAUCUAUUAACAUUAAAAUAAAAAUAUUCGAAAAUGCGACCAUCUAUUAACAUUAAAAUAAAAAUAUUUUCAACUCAUCACAUCCACAAGUUGCGAUCAGCAAAAAAAAUAAAACAUUAUUUUAUUUUUUUCUAAGUGUGACAUGUUGAGAUAUAAAAAAAAUAUAUAAAUAUAAAAAAUCCUAAAUUCUUAUCAUAAUAAUCCUUUAAAAUUCAAAUUACAAAUUUUAAUAGUUUUUAAAAAUCAUCAAAAUUUUACAAAUCUUUUAAAAUUUAUAAGAUUUUUUAUACAAAAGUUAUAUUUUAAAAUCUUAAUCCAAUACAUUUCUCUAAAAAUAUAUUAGUAAAAAAAGAAUUAAUACACUCAAAAUUAAAAAAAAAAAAAAAUCUUAUAAAAAGAAAAACAAUUGUUUCAAAAAAUUACGAUAGUAUAGAGUGGAUAAUUAGCUUAAAUUAACAAGAAGACUAGCGUUUUUGAAGCAUUUACAGACAGGACAAGUAUGCAGUGUAGACCCACACAUAGUACAGAGACAGAGGUGUCUGCAAGGCAGGAUUAGUACACACGAUUCUCCUUUCCCACAAUUUCUGCACAAUCUCUUCUUUUCAUUGUAACCGCUAUCGUACUCAUUCAUUACUCUGCUACCAUCACCACCACCACUAGUACCUUCUCCAUUUUCC